Molecule: small nucleolar RNA, 81 nt
Filed under: Macleaya cordata
Lineage: Eukaryota; Viridiplantae; Streptophyta; Magnoliopsida; Ranunculales; Papaveraceae
Source: RNAcentral
CAGAAUGGUGAAAAACAGGGGAAGAUGCAGCAGACUGGGCAGUAAAAGACGUAGCAAAAGAUCGCGCUGUGGAUUCUGGAA